Molecule: ribosomal RNA, 253 nt
Filed under: uncultured bacterium
Lineage: Bacteria
Description: partial 16S ribosomal RNA
Rfam family: Bacterial small subunit ribosomal RNA
Source: RNAcentral
UACGUAGGGACCUAGCGUUGUCCGGAAUUAUUGGGCGUAAAGAGCUCGUAGGCGGUUUGUCGCGUCUGCUGUGAAAACUCGGGGCUUAACUCCGGGCCUGCAGUGGGUACGGGCAGACUAGAGUGCGGUAGGGGAGACUGGAAUUCCUGGUGUAGCGGUGAAAUGCGCAGAUAUCAGGAGGAACACCGGUGGCGAAGGCGGGUCUCUGGGCCGUAACUGACGCUGAGGAGCGAAAGCGUGGGGAGCGAACAGG